AGACGUCUACAUUAGACUACCCGGUAGUCCCAGCCGUAAACUAUGCGCGUUAGGUGUAUCGGUGACCACGAGUCACCGAGGUGCCGAAGGGAAACCGUGAAACGUGCCGCCUGGGAAGUACGGUCGCAAGGCUAGAAACUUAAAGGAAUUGGCGGGGAGCACCACAACGGGUGGAGCCUGCGGUUUAAUUGGACUCAACGCCGGGAAGCUCACCGGAUAGGACAGCAGAAUGAUUGCCGGGCUGAAGACCCUGCAUGACUAGCUG
This 265-nucleotide ribosomal RNA is filed under the name uncultured archaeon. RNAcentral describes it as "partial 16S ribosomal RNA". It matches the Rfam family "Archaeal small subunit ribosomal RNA", at positions 717 to 982 of the family's 1478-position model. The record is from RNAcentral.